Oncorhynchus nerka (sockeye salmon) is the source of this 670-nucleotide long non-coding RNA. RefSeq lists it as uncharacterized. The record is from RefSeq and is a predicted model, not a curated record. Lineage: Eukaryota; Metazoa; Chordata; Actinopteri; Salmoniformes; Salmonidae. The transcript has 3 exons.
GGAAGAGGCAGUAAGUAUAUUUACUACAAUCUGUUAUUGUGAAUAUGAUUGAUUUAAUACAAACCUGUUAAACAUAUAUUAAUGUUGUCUAUAUUUUCAGUGGUUUGAUGUGUACUACCGACAUGUUCGAACAGCUUUUCUUAAAAACUCUGAUGACACGGAAGAAGAUGAGAGCUUCUUCAUUUCCACAACAGGUAAAGCGAUCUACAACCCAUCCAAUGACCUACAAAGGUUUCAUUCCAAAUACAACUUGCCCAACAUCACGAGCCAGGUAGCAAGACGAGUUAUAGAGACAAAUACCAAAGCCAACUUCACAGACCAACAGAAGUGCCUUGUUGCUGACUACUUGGCCCAUACAACUGCUACAGCUGAAAAGCAUUACCGCAUGAAGACACCAGUCAAUGCCUGCCUGGGAUUGAAGCUGAUCACCAAAGUUGCCACGUCCGAUGAAUCUAAUAUUGAGACUGCAGGCCCCUCCUGUGCAAGCACAAGUAGAAAGGGAGCAUUGUCCAGCUGCAAAAAGUUGGAUGAGGCACAGGCCUUGAAACUCUUCUAUGAACACUUCCCUGUCACAAUUGAUGGACAAUCAAUCCAGAUCAAGGACAGACGACUGAUUGUAGGAAUGCAUGAGAGAUACUGCUAUGACAAGUGGAGAAGCCAGCAAGUGAAA